Molecule: ribosomal RNA, 253 nt
Filed under: uncultured bacterium
Lineage: Bacteria
Description: partial 16S ribosomal RNA
Rfam family: Bacterial small subunit ribosomal RNA
Source: RNAcentral
UACAGAGGGUGCGAGCGUUAAUCGGAAUUACUGGGCGUAAAGCGUGCGUAGACGGUUAUGUAAGUCGGAUGUGAAAGCCCCGGGCUCAACCUGGGAAUUGCAUUCGAAACUGUGUAGCUAGGGUGCGGAAGAGGGAAGCGGAAUUUCCGGUGUAGCGGUGAAAUGCGUAGAUAUCGGAAGGAACACCAGUGGCGAAAGCGGCUUCCUGGUCCAGCACCGACGUUCAGGCACGAAAGCAUGGGGAGCAAACAGG